This is a non-coding RNA of Nycticebus coucang (slow loris), 136 nucleotides long. RefSeq annotates it as small Cajal body-specific RNA 11. NCBI's taxonomy places the organism in Eukaryota, Metazoa, Chordata, Mammalia, Primates, Lorisidae. The record is from RefSeq and is a predicted model, not a curated record. The transcript has a single exon.
AUGUCUGGGAAGUUGUGGGAAUAGUGAUGCCUUACAAAGUGCAGGGAAGAGCCUGGCAGGACACAGGCCCUCUCCUUCUGGGUUUAGGAGAGCCAUCCUAAGACUAGGGCUGGCUCUUACAGGUAGAGAGGACAAU